CCAGACUACAAUUCGGACAAGGGGAAUCCGACUGUUUAAUUAAAACAAAGCAUUGCGAUGGUCCCAACAGAUGUUCACGCAAUGUGAUUUUUUUUUUUUCAAAAAAAAAAAAAGAAAGCUUUCCCACGUUUUCUGUCUACUGCUAAGAAAACCCAAAAACCUCUAGAACUACUCUAAUACAUCACAACACCUGCACUCUCCCAACAGAAAUAACCCAAACAAUAUGUAGAAAUUGAGAAAAUGCAACUGAGAUUAAACUUAAAAGAUGAUGAAGUCUAAUCAAGUACAUAUAUUAUGUAAGGUUAAGAGAAUCAAUAAGGUUAUAGGUUAAAUGUGCAUUACAGCAUGUCUAAGUUCAUUGAACACAAGCUGGAGAAUAUUGUAGAUCCACAGAAAAUCGUGUAGUAGAAUGUUCACAUACCAUAUAUUAUCAUGUCGAAUAUAUAAGGAGUUCGUUUAAAUGGUGUUAACUUAUUCACUUGUGUCACAUGAUAUCAUAGACUCUACUAUCUAGGUAAAUAAACAGUAGUGGCCUAAGGCUGCCUGUCUAGCCAAAGUUUUUUUUAAAUAGUUUUUUGUUUUAAUUUUAAGCUAUGUUGCUCGGAUUCUCCAAAAUUGUUGUCGCACCCGUGUCAAAUUUUCCAAAUGUGCAGCUUGGGGAGUAUCCAACAUGCACCCGUUGACAUUUUUGGAUAGUCCGAGCAACAUAGGUUAACAGUAGAUUGCAAUGACAAUACCAACAUUCAUGUCAUUAUCCAGUCAGCGUCCAUCUCCCUUUCAAGUUAGCAAGGUACAUUGCCAGUGAUCACUAGCCAAGCAAGUAGUAUCUUAUCAUUACUAGUAAUAUAAUUCAUUUAGCAGCACAUCAAUCCCCAAAUGUAAUCAUGCUCAUGAAUUCAUGAUAACAGCAUGACCCAGUUAAUUCUAGCGGCAGCAAAAGAUAAAUGCCAAUUUAACAUAACUUAAUUAUCAGUUUCGAUAUUCGAACUCAAAUAAUUUCACCACCUUAAGUUUAGGGCAACUUGUUGAAUCAAGAAUAUUUAUGAGAUUAUGCGUUAAACUAUAUCAAAAUUUCCAGCAUUUCUACCUUAGGCAAUGCAGCAGUCGAGGGUCAUUGAUGACCAAGACCCAGAAUGGUAUACAUGAGGUGUUCAAAAAUAAGGCAACCUACAGAAGUAGUUAUGCCCAAGAAGGUUUUUGGAGCACAAGAUGCAGACUCAGUCAAUGUACUUCCAACUCAGAUACCAACCUUGUCAACCAAUUGAAUGCCUUACUGUCAUUCAGGAAACUAGGUUUUGGAUGCAAAUCUGAAGAAAAAGAAGAAAUUAAGUUUUUGGGUACAUACAAGGCAUUUUUGGGCGUAUAUGCUACUUGGCGGUGCAGAGACUAAGCUGCAGGAAUAAAAAAAAAACCCUCCCACUUACAAA
This is a long non-coding RNA of Capsicum annuum, 1427 nucleotides long. RefSeq lists it as uncharacterized. Lineage: Eukaryota; Viridiplantae; Streptophyta; Magnoliopsida; Solanales; Solanaceae. The transcript has 2 exons. The record is from RefSeq and is a predicted model, not a curated record.